AAAACGUCGCUGAGAAGUAUCUUCAAUUAUCCCUAAUGAUUUCAAGAAGGCAAUUGAAUUAUGGACCUCUUUGCAAGAAUAAAACAAAUUGGCCAAUUUCACGUAGAAGAUAUUAGUAAGAGGCAUAGCUUGUUAUUUUUCUUCAGAUAUUGCUUCAGGUGUAUCAGAAUUUUUGUAUACAUUUAUCGCAAACAGUAAUAAAAUGGCUGCCUGUGUUGUUUAAAUAACGAGAAUGGUGUCAACGACACCGAUAAGCACAUUAAGUUUUCAUCGAAGCGACUAACGAGCGCUGCUAACAUCGAGUCAGUAUAAAUUUAGGCAAGUUCAUUGGAAAACAGUAUCAAGAUGAACUAGUUCAGUAAGUAAACCACUUUAACAUUGCUCGUUUAUUCACACAUUUUUAUAUUCCAUGAUAAAAACUGUCUUUCCUUUACGAUAAUAAAAUGAGGAACUUUUUUUCUCGCUUACCACCUGGAAAUAUCGAUUGAUCAUCAACGCUUGCGCUCUAUGUGAAGAUGUUUUUGCGCUGGAAAUAUGCACACUCAAAUAUUUUCGAUAUUUCAUGGCAGAAUAACAAAGAAAAAAAGACGAUGACGUGAGCGUUGUUUAACGAGCAAAGCUUAGAGAUAAGCGUACAAGGACUCGUAGAGAUUAUCGGCCCCAGCCUGCGACUCACAUCCUGUUUCCAUCGCGAGACAAACUGCGACACACCCACUGUUCCGAGAACGUCGAACUUCGCCACCAAUUUCCAGUCGAAUCGAAAGCAACGCGUGUGGGAUAUUCGCGAGAUCGUGUAGUUUCCACACUUCUAUUCGCAACUGUGCAAUUACUCUCUAAUCGAGAGAGGGGAACGAAACUGAUCGACGUCGAAAUCGUCGACGAUUUGACACUGAUAAUAUCGCAAACCUCGCGAAAUUUUCAACUAACGUCCGUGUAAAUACUUUAUACACGUUCGCCUUUCAGUAAUCGCGUGCAACACCAACGAUACAUUCCUUUCUAUUUGUUUAUCUCUGUCCAAUACUUUCCCCUGGGCGAUGUAAAAUCACGAUAUAGAGAACAAACUGUCACGUGCUUAUCGGAUCGGCGAGAUUUGCGCACGUGAACCUGUGAUGAUCGGCAAAACGGUACUGAUUGUCAAUCAAGUUCUCGGUAAAGCGACCGGCUUCGAAGCCGGAGAAUAGAAGCCUGGAGGAGGCAAGCUGGUCUGGAGAAGGAGAAGGAACAGGAGAUGGAGGGAGUAUUCUCACAACAAGGGAAGUAGAAACUCGAGGCUGGUUCGCGAAGCCAAGGAAAACCAACCUAGCCAGCUACGAAGAAAUGGUUCGCGGGUAGAACCUGAACUAGACAGUUACUUGUGAAUCGGAUGGAUGUGCUCUUUCGCGGAAAUUGAAAUGUUCCUUGAAUUGGACCCUCGAUAUCGUAACUUAAAGGUUAGAAGACGAUAAGAAAACGAAUAUAAUAAUUCAAAUAUUGCGUUCUUGCUUUGUCGAUAAAGUAGAUCUUUAAGGGAAAGAUCUAGUUCGUGUCGACUUUGAAUCAAUAUAACAACGCGUUUGAAUGAAAUUCGUGGUUGGCAGGAAGCCUACCGAGCUCCCCCGGAUCUAUUUUAUACUGCUGAAUCAUACAGUCAAUUUGGACAUUAAUAUUGCACGAUAUGCGUAACGCACUUUCGUCAUAAAUUUCAGGGAAAUUGGACACACACGAUAAUGACUCUAGACACUUAAUAAAUCAUAGAAGUAUUACAGUCGCAGCAAAACAAAAACGUGGUCGCAAAAAAGCACGUAAUUAUAAUUAGGAUUCGAUGCAAUCAUAAUUUCCAUCGAUCUCUGCAUAGACAAACGUGCGUGUCGUUGGAUCGUUGCCAAACGAGCCGGUGUAAUCGGCGAUACAGGUCUCGUAAUGUCGGUCAUAGUCAUAUCACUGUGUUUUCAACGACA
Molecule: long non-coding RNA, 1937 nt
Organism: Bombus impatiens (common eastern bumble bee)
Lineage: Eukaryota; Metazoa; Arthropoda; Insecta; Hymenoptera; Apidae
Exons: 5
Source: RefSeq, a predicted model, not a curated record